GGAAGUCUCAUUCGGUAUUCCAUGCCAAUGCCAGGAUUUUGUUGUCUCUAAUCGGGUGUUCAGGGAUUAUGUUGAAAAUUUUUGGGGCCAAGUAGGCAUGGCUUCUCUGUCCCACACUUUUACUACAUCUUGGUGCUUGGUAUCUUACCCAACUUGAUGUCCAUAAUGAGUUUCAGAGCAUAUAAUUGCCUUACAUCGUGUACUCCUGCCAAUUCAAAUAGUUGCUAACUAGAAAAAGUACGUUUUUUUUAUAUGUAAUUUUUAGUAUCCAUUGCUGAAUUGUUUCUAAUCCUCUUAAGUGGCUCUGACAAGCUCCACCCCAUCCAACUAUUCCAUAACUAAUUUGUGAUGCCACCAGAGCCUG
Molecule: long non-coding RNA, 364 nt
Organism: Harmonia axyridis
Lineage: Eukaryota; Metazoa; Arthropoda; Insecta; Coleoptera; Coccinellidae
Exons: 3
Source: RefSeq, a predicted model, not a curated record